RNAcentral lists this long non-coding RNA (751 nucleotides) under Chrysemys picta bellii (western painted turtle). RNAcentral describes it as "lncRNA (ENSCPBG00000025679.1)". The record is from RNAcentral. Lineage: Eukaryota; Metazoa; Chordata; Testudines; Emydidae.
GGGGUGAUGGGGUCAGAGCAGCAGUGAGGGCAGGGCCUGAGCGUGAAACCCGUAAGUCUCUCUUCCCCAGCCCCGAUGUGGGGGCAGGGCGUAGCCCCGUGGGCCAUGCACCCCUGUGCCGGGCUGUGGGGUCCUGGGUGCAGCCAUGGGAUGGAGCCUUUGCCCCAAGCUCUCCCCCAAGCCUGACAGGCACACCUCAGCCCAGGGGCCCAGCACGCCUUGCCCAGGGUCUCACGCCUGGCCGCUGGAGGUGCGCUGGGCCGGCAGCUCCCCACAGGCCCACUGGCAUUUGCACCCAGGCUGGGAGAUUUUAGCCCCAUCCCAUUGGCAUUGGGCUCCCCGCGGUGCAGCCUUGGCCCCGUUCUGUCCCUGGAGCCCCCAGUCCGGUGCUGGGCUCCCAUCUCCCCCCGGCUGAGGCAGGCAGGACCUGCCUCUUCCCCAGGGGUCUGUGCGGACCCCAGCAGCUGCCAGCGUGGGGCGCUGUGUCGCUGUUUCAUUGUCCCUGCUCUCUCUGCCCAGGCCUUGCUGCGGGACAGGCCGCCCCCCCCCACGCGCCCACUGCCUGCAGACCCUGUGCUGAAAGGCACUCAGCCACCAGGCCCUGCCCGGCUGCCUCUGCCCAAGAGGCUGCUGCCCUCGGAUCCCACCGGGCCCCUCGUCUCCGGGUCUGAGCUGUCCUCGGUGCACUCCUACGGCCCCCACGUCAUGGUGCUGCCCUCCAGGCCAGCUCCCCCGCCCCCCGCUGGGCAUC